This 506-nucleotide ribosomal RNA is filed under the name uncultured bacterium. Its description in RNAcentral is "partial 16S ribosomal RNA". It matches the Rfam family "Bacterial small subunit ribosomal RNA", at positions 29 to 523 of the family's 1533-position model. The record is from RNAcentral.
AGUGAACGCUGGCGGUAGGCCUAACACAUGCAAGUCGAACGGCAGCACAGAGGGGCUUGCUCCUUGGGUGGCGAGUGGCGGACGGGUGGGGAAUACAUCGGAAUCUACUCUGUCGUGGGGGAUAACGUAGGGAAACUUACGCUAAUACCGCAUACGACCUACGGGUGAAAGCAGGGGAUCUUCGGACCUUGCGCGAUUGAAUGAGCCGAUGUCGGAUUAGCUAGUUGGCGGGGUAAAGGCCCACCAAGGCGACGAUCCGUAGCUGGUCUGAGAGGAUGAUCAGCCACACUGGAACUGAGACACGGUCCAGACUCCUACGGGAGGCAGCAGUGGGGAAUAUUGGACAAUGGGCGCAAGCCUGAUCCAGCCAUACCGCGUGGGUGAAGAAGGCCUUCGGGUUGUAAAGCCCUUUUGUUGGGAAAGAAAUCCAUCUGGUUAAUACCCGGGUGGGAUGACGGUACCCAAAGAAUAAGCACCGGCUAACUUCGUGCCAGCCGCCGCAGUAA